CCUGUAAAGAGCUUCGCUCGGAGCAGCCAGCCAGUCAGCCGUGACUCAAUAACUUCUUAGAAAAUGGAGAUGAAAUUCCCAUGUGAAGAUGCCCUUCUUAUCCCAGGGAGAGAGGAACAUUCUCAUCAUCAAAGACAGGAAGCAGAGGCGUUGUCAUGCCAGAGAUUACAUGUGUAAUGUGUGUCUUCUGUCCUCUGGAGGGAGGUUCCAGAAAAUCAUCCUGGCACAACUGGAUGUGGCUGUCAGCUCCCUACUCCCUGAAGGAUGGAUGUGAAUAUUUGACAUCACUCAAGAAGUCGUCCUAGGAAAGAGGCUUUUGAAUGGAUGAAGGUGGUGGCUCCUUCCCCCAGAGGAGUAGGAAAAGGGCCCCACUGCCUGGGGAAAGGGAUUUGAAUCAACCCUUUUGUUAAAAACUUUAAGAUACAUUUGCUGUACAACCCAGUUAUUUUGCUCCUAAGUAUCUAUUAAGGAAAAAUAAAAACAUAUGUUCAUGUAAAGACUUAUUCAUCAGUAGUCAUAGCAGCUUUAUACACAAUAGCCCCAAACUGGACACCACCCAAAUAUCCACUACAAAGCAAUUGAAAGAACAAAUUGUGGUAUAUCCUUAUAAUGGAAUAGUACUCAGCAAUGAAAAGGAGUGAAAUAUUCAUAU
Molecule: non-coding RNA, 652 nt
Organism: Microcebus murinus (gray mouse lemur)
Lineage: Eukaryota; Metazoa; Chordata; Mammalia; Primates; Cheirogaleidae
Source: RefSeq, a predicted model, not a curated record